Small nucleolar RNA from Eutrema salsugineum, 133 nucleotides. It matches the Rfam family "Small nucleolar RNA Z247". From Rfam's summary of the family: Z247 is a member of the C/D class of snoRNA which contain the C (UGAUGA) and D (CUGA) box motifs. Most of the members of the box C/D family function in directing site-specific 2'-O-methylation of substrate RNAs. NCBI's taxonomy places the organism in Eukaryota, Viridiplantae, Streptophyta, Magnoliopsida, Brassicales, Brassicaceae. The record is from Rfam.
GCUGUUGAACAUGAAGAUCAGAUCGAUCUUAUCCUUGAUGGACUGCUUGAUGAGUACAAAACGAUUGUCGAUCAGAUCAAAGGCCGAGACGUCUCACCGACACUCAUUGAACUCCACGAGCGACUGCUCAACC